ACUGCUCUGGAUUCAGCGGCGGACGGGUGAGUAAUGCCUAGGAAUCUGCCUGGUAGUGGGGGACAACGUUUCGAAAGGAACGCUAAUACCGCAUACGUCCUACGGGAGAAAGCAGGGGACCUUCGGGCCUUGCGCUAUCAGAUGAGCCUAGGUCGGAUUAGCUAGUUGGUGAGGUAAUGGCUCACCAAGGCGACGAUCCGUAACUGGUCUGAGAGGAUGAUCAGUCACACUGGAACUGAGACACGGUCCAGACUCCUACGGGAGGCAGCAGUGGGGAAUAUUGGACAAUGGGCGAAAGCCUGAUCCAGCCAUGCCGCGUGUGUGAAGAAGGUCUUCGGAUUGUAAAGCACUUUAAGUUGGGAGGAAGGGCAGUAAAUUAAUACUUUGCUGUUUUGACGUUACCGACAGAAUAAGCACCGGCUAACUCUGUGCCAGCAGCCGCGGUAAUACAGAGGGUGCAAGCGUUAAUCGGAAUUACUGGGCGUAAAGCGCGCGUAGGUGGUUUGUUAAGUUGGAUGUGAAAUCCCCGGGCUCAACCUGGGAACUGCAUCCAAAACUGGCAAGCUAGAGUAUGGUAGAGGGUGGUGGAAUUUCCUGUG
RNAcentral lists this ribosomal RNA (599 nucleotides) under Pseudomonas sp. EECC-192. RNAcentral describes it as "bacterial SSU rRNA". It matches the Rfam family "Bacterial small subunit ribosomal RNA", at positions 80 to 675 of the family's 1533-position model. Lineage: Bacteria; Pseudomonadati; Pseudomonadota; Gammaproteobacteria; Pseudomonadales; Pseudomonadaceae. The record is from RNAcentral.